Leptinotarsa decemlineata (Colorado potato beetle) is the source of this 398-nucleotide long non-coding RNA. The record is from RefSeq and is a predicted model, not a curated record. Lineage: Eukaryota; Metazoa; Arthropoda; Insecta; Coleoptera; Chrysomelidae.
GGCCUAGCGAAUGAACCCAUGUCAUUUGUUUGUGUGCUCUCAGAUCAGCCGCUAUAAUCAUUUGAUGAGUGUUUUGUUAAUGAAGCGGCAGAAUGAUUACAUCAUUAAGAGUUGCAGUGGCUGUUUCAGAAGACGUUGAUUGAUAGUUAACUGUAUUGAAGUGAAGGUAUUGCAAUGUGGAAGUUAUUACGAUUUAUCUUCGUAAUAAAAUUCCACUUUAUAUAUGGAAAACUGGUUGGUGACAACAUUUGCCUCACGGAAGAAAGUUUCCUGGUGAACGUCACAGAAAACUAUCUCCGGAAUGUGACAGUUCGGAAUUACAAAUGGUGUUACAACGUACCGCCACGGUGCUCUUACUACACCGUCAAUAGAAUUAACGAUACUCGAAUAGUCGUAAG